Long non-coding RNA from Camelina sativa (false flax), 884 nucleotides. RefSeq lists it as uncharacterized. The record is from RefSeq and is a predicted model, not a curated record. Lineage: Eukaryota; Viridiplantae; Streptophyta; Magnoliopsida; Brassicales; Brassicaceae.
UUCGAUCCGAUUUGUUCAGAAAAGUUUUUUUUUCUGUUUUGUUUUGAAAUUUGAUUUGUUCAGAAAAUUUAUGCAGCAAAUUUAUGCAGAUACGGGCUUUUAUGAGGCCCAUUAUGCAACAAAUUCAGGCCAUCGAGUAAUCUAUACUUUGAUAGGUAUUUUUUUUAAUAUAUGACUCUAAAAGUAAAUAUGACCGUUUGGAAACAAGUUUAUAUCUUCACGCGCCUGAGGUGAUAAUAAUUAGACAGAGAGGACGCGUCUAAAAUGCGCGUAAGAUUACAGUUUUUAAUUACAGUAUAAUUUUUUUUUUUUAUUAAUCUGUCACUUAAGAUUUGACAGUCGAACGUUGGAUAGCAGAAGAAAAAUUACGAACGUUUGAAACAAUAAAUUGUUACCGUUGUGAAAUACAAUAACUUGAUUUUUCUUUUUCUUUUUCUUUUUAUAAGUGUGGAUGGACCUCUAUAAAUAUAACUUACUACUUCACUCAUCUUCUCGUUCAAAGUUCGAAACUCUUUUCUUAAAACGACUAAAACUCUUUUUUUUUUUUUUUUUUUUGCAUUUCCUAUUAUGUUCUUCCGCUUACGUUCAAGUCAAAACCUUUUAUAGUUCCCACAUCCUCAGAGAAAGACAAGCAUAGUCAGUCAUAGAGGCAUCAUGACCAUAGAAGAUGGCAGUGAAACGAGAGAAGCUUGAUUCGUUUGUGUAAUUAGUCGUCUAUGAUUUUCGUCAUCCGGCUUAAUUGGUGCAGGAGAGACUAAAUUAAACCUCUAUGUAUAGACGUAUGUUGUAUGAGAAUGAAUGAUGUAUAGAGUCAUGUUUGUAAUAAUUAGAUGUAGGGGAUGUAUAUACAUAGGAUAAGGAUGAGAAUGAAUGACGUAUGUAUA